Molecule: ribosomal RNA, 379 nt
Filed under: uncultured cyanobacterium
Lineage: Bacteria; Bacillati; Cyanobacteriota
Description: bacterial SSU rRNA
Rfam family: Bacterial small subunit ribosomal RNA
Source: RNAcentral
CGCAAGCCUGACGGAGCAAUACCGCGUGAGGGAGGAAGGCUCUUGGGUUGUAAACCUCUUUUCUCAGGGAAGAAGCUCUGACGGUACCUGAGGAAUCAGCCUCGGCUAACUCCGUGCCAGCAGCCGCGGUAAUACGGAGGAGGCAAGCGUUAUCCGGAAUUAUUGGGCGUAAAGCGUCCGCAGGUGGCGAUUCAAGUCUGCUGUCAAAGCACGGGGCUUAACUCCGUUAAGGCAGUGGAAACUGAAUGGCUAGAGUGCCGUAGGGGUAGAGGGAAUUCCCGGUGUAGCGGUGAAAUGCGUAGAUAUUGGGAAGAACACCAGUGGCGAAGGCGCUCUACUGGGCCGUAACUGACGCUGAGGGACGAAAGCUAGGGGAGCG